AAGUAGAGAGGAGACAUUGCUGGAACUGGCAGCAGAGGAGGGGUCAGAGUCCUAUAUAGAUCACAUGAUCACAUCAGUGAUGAUGAAGGAGGACCCAAGUCACAAGACUGAGAGGAUAUUAGACCUCACCCUGGAGAUCAUCUACCUGCUGACCGGAGAGGUGAGGAGGAUUCUGGGAGGUCACAUGACAUCACUCUUAUCUCCUAUUAAUAAAACAGACCUGACCUAAGAGAUGAGGAGGAUUCUGGGAGAUCACAUGACAUCACUCUUAUCUCCUAUUAAUAAAACAGAUCUGACCGAAGAGGUGAGGAGGAUUAUGGGAGGUCACAUGACAUCACUGUUAUCUCUGUUAAUAAAGCACAGAUCUGACCGGAGAGGUGAGGAGGAUUCUGGGAGAUGACAUGACAUCACUC
This is a long non-coding RNA of Rana temporaria (common frog), 413 nucleotides long. RefSeq lists it as uncharacterized. Lineage: Eukaryota; Metazoa; Chordata; Amphibia; Anura; Ranidae. The transcript is spliced from 3 exons. The record is from RefSeq and is a predicted model, not a curated record.